UAUUCCGGAUAACGCAUAUUUGCUGGAAUGCUUUAUGCGUCAAAAGGAUUCGUCUGCCCAAGGAUGGGUCUGCGGCCUAUCAGGUAGUAGUGGGUGUAAUGUACCUACUAGCCAGCGACGGGUACGGGUUGUGAGAGCAAGAGCCCGGAGAUGGAUUCUGAGACAUGAAUCCAGGCCCUACGGGGCGCAGCAGGCGCGAAAACUUUACAAUGCGGGAAACCGUGAUAAGGGGACACCGAGUGCCAGCAUCAUAUGCUGGCUGUCCGGAUGUGUAAAAUACAUCCGUUAGCAAGGGCCGGGCAAGACCGGUGCCAGCCGCCGCGGUAACACCGGCGGCCCGAGUGGUGAUCGUGAUUAUUGGGUCUAAAGGGUCCGUAGCCGGUUUGGUCAGUCCUCCGGGAAAUCUGAUAGCUCAACUAUUAGGCUUUCGGGGGAUACUGCCAGACUUGGAACCGGGAGAGGUAAGAGGUACUACAGGGGUAGGAGUGAAAUCUUGUAAUCCCUGUGGGACCACCUGUGGCGAAGGCGUCUUACCAGAACGGGUUCGACGGUGAGGGACGAAAGCUGGGGGCACGAACCGGAUUAGAUACCCGGGUAGUCCCAGCCGUAAACGAUGCUCGCUAGGUGUCAGGCAUGGCGCGACCGUGUCUGGUGCCGCAGGGAAGCCGUGAAGCGAGCCACCUGGGAAGUACGGCCGCAAGGCUGAAACUUAAAGGAAUUGGCGGGGGAGCACAACAACGGGUGGAGCCUGCGGUUUAAUUGGACUCAACGCCGGACAACUCACCGGGGGCGACAGCAAUAUGUAGGCCAAGCUGAAGACUUUGCCUGAAUCGCUGAGAGGAGGUGCAUGGCCGUCGCCAGUUCGUACUGUGAAGCAUCCUGUUAAGUCAGGCAACGAGCGAGACCCGUGCCCACUGUUACCAGCAUGUCCUCCGGGACGAUGGGUACUCUGUGGACCGCCGAUGUUAAAUCGGAGGAAGGUGCGGGCCACGGUAGGUCAGUAUGCCCCGAAUCUCCCGGGCUACACGCGGGCUACAAUGGAUGGGACAAUGGGUCCCUCCCCUGAAAAGGGCUGGUAAUCUCACAAACCCAUUCGUAGUUCGGAUCGAGGGCUGUAACUCGCCCUCGUGAAGCUGGAAUCC
This 1142-nucleotide ribosomal RNA is filed under the name Methanosarcina mazei. Its description in RNAcentral is "bacterial SSU rRNA". It matches the Rfam family "Archaeal small subunit ribosomal RNA", at positions 148 to 1290 of the family's 1478-position model. Lineage: Archaea; Methanobacteriati; Methanobacteriota; Methanomicrobia; Methanosarcinales; Methanosarcinaceae. The record is from RNAcentral.